UGCCAGCAGCCGCGGUAAUACGUAGGUGGCAAGCGUUGUCCGGAAUCACUGGGCGUAAAGGGCGCGUAGGCGGGUUUUUAAGUCAGAUGUGAAAUGUCCGGGCUCAACCCGGGAUAUGCAUCUGAUACUGGAAGUCUUGAGUGCUGGAGAGGGCAGUGGAAUUCCUAGUGUAGCGGUGAAAUGCGUAGAUAUUAGGAGGAACACCAGUGGCGAAGGCGGCUGCCUGGACAGUAACUGACGCUGAGGCGCGAAAGCGUGGGGAGCAAACAGGACUAGAUACCCUGGUAGUCCACGCCGUAAACGAUGGGUACUAGGUGUAGAGGGUAUCGACCCCCUCUGUGCCGGAGUUAACACAAUAAGUACCCCGCCUGGGGAGUACGGCCGCAAGGUUGAAACUCAAAGGAAUUGACGGGGGCCCGCACAAGU
RNAcentral lists this ribosomal RNA (426 nucleotides) under uncultured bacterium. RNAcentral's name for it is "bacterial SSU rRNA". It matches the Rfam family "Bacterial small subunit ribosomal RNA", at positions 506 to 930 of the family's 1533-position model. The record is from RNAcentral.